This 407-nucleotide ribosomal RNA is filed under the name uncultured bacterium. RNAcentral's name for it is "partial 16S ribosomal RNA". It matches the Rfam family "Bacterial small subunit ribosomal RNA", at positions 30 to 526 of the family's 1533-position model. The record is from RNAcentral.
AUUGAACGCUAGCGGGAUGCCUUACACAUGCAAGUCGAACGGAGUGGCGAACGGGUGAGUAAUGUAUCGGAACGUGCCCAGUAGCGGGGGAUAACUACGCGAAAGCGUAGCUAAUACCGCAUACUAUUGGAGCGGCCGUGAUCGGAUUAGCUAGUUGGUGGGGUAACGGCGCCACAAGGCGACGAUCCGUAGCUGGUGUGAGGGGACUACCAGCCAGACUGGGACUGAGAAACGGCCCAGACUCCUACGGGAGGCAGCAGUGGGGAAUUUGGGACAAUGGGGGAAACCCUGAUCCAGCCAUCCCGCGUGGGCGAUGAAGGCCUUCGGGUUGUAAAGCACUUUUGGCAGGAAAGCGGUACCUGCAGAAUAAGCACCGGCUAACUCCGUGCCAGCAGCCGCGGUAAUAC